GAUUAUUGGGCGUAAAGAGCUCGUAGGCGGUUUGUCGCGUCUGCCGUGAAAGUCCGGGGCUCAACUCCGGAUCUGCGGUGGGUACGGGCAGACUAGAGUGAUGUAGGGGAGACUGGAAUUCCUGGUGUAGCGGUGAAAUGCGCAGAUAUCAGGAGGAACACCGAUGGCGAAGGCAGGUCUCUGGGCAUUAACUGACGCUGAGGAGCGAAAGCAUGGGGAGCGAACAGGAUUAGAUACCCUGGUAGUCCAUGCCGUAAACGUUGGGCACUAGGUGUGGGGGACAUUCCACGUUUUCCGCGCCGUAGCUAACGCAUUAAGUGCCCCGCCUGGGGAGUACGGCCGCAAGGCUAAAACUCAAAGGAAUUGACGGGGGCCCGCACAAGCGGCGGAGCAUGCGGAUUAAUUCGAUGCAACGCGAAGAACCUUACCAAGGCUUGACAUGGACCGGACCGCCGCAGAAAUGUGGUUUCCCCUUUGGGGCCGGUUCACAGGUGGUGCAUGGUUGUCGUCAGCUCGUGUCGUGAGAUGUUGGGUUAAGUCCCGCAACGAGCGCAACCCUCGUUCCAUGUUGCCAGCGCGUAAUGGCGGGGACUCAUGGGAGACUGCCGGGGUCAACUCGGAGGAAGGUGGGGACGACGUCAAAUCAUCAUGCCCCUUAUGUCUUGGGCUUCACGCAUGCUACAAUGGCCGGUACAAAGGGUUGCGAUACUGUGAGGUGGAGCUAAUCCCAAAAAGCCGGUCUCAGUUCGGAUUGGGGUCUGCAACUCGACCCCAUGAAGUCGGAGUCGCUAGUAAUCGCAGAUCAGCAACGCUGCGGUGAAUACGUUCCCGGGCCUUGUACACACCGCCCGUCAAGUCACGAAAGUUGGGUAACACCCGAAGCCGGUGGGCUAACCCCU
This 899-nucleotide ribosomal RNA is filed under the name Arthrobacter sp. CR424. RNAcentral's name for it is "bacterial SSU rRNA". It matches the Rfam family "Bacterial small subunit ribosomal RNA", at positions 547 to 1443 of the family's 1533-position model. The record is from RNAcentral. Lineage: Bacteria; Bacillati; Actinomycetota; Actinomycetes; Micrococcales; Micrococcaceae.